GCAUCAUGAGGCAUGCCAACGUUGUUUUACAUGUUUUUGUGCUUGCCACGUUUUAUUCAGAAUGGACCUUGAGUGUUUUAUUUAUUCCCGAACGCACUGAAGUGACCUACGUCAACGAGAAAUACUUAUAUAAUGUGUCUGCCCGCGUCAUACGGUACGGCAGAAAAAGCGAUUACCUAUACAAUCUCGAGGGAGGACUCAAGCAUACUUGGGGAAAUAAUAUCACGAUUCAUUUCGUUUUCUUCGAAGCCCAAAACAACCAAUACAAGCGGAGUCUAUUGGAGCUAAAACUGAAGUUGUGCGACCUAUACCAACGAGAUCAAUACCUCGGAAAAAUGUUUAACGCGGUUUUAGACAAAUAUGGAAUAUCCUGUCCUUUUGCGCCGGGAAUGUACCGGUUUAUGAACACGACGCUGCCCGGAGAGAAGAUUCCCAACUUCCUGCCAUUCCAGAAGGGAAAAGUCGAGAUCACGUUUAACCAAUUGCAGACGCAAGAUUUAGUUGCAAGGCUUUUUAUCAUAUUUACCGUUAAAUCGUAGGUUUACAGA
Long non-coding RNA from Cydia splendana, 548 nucleotides. RefSeq lists it as uncharacterized. The record is from RefSeq and is a predicted model, not a curated record. The transcript has 4 exons. Lineage: Eukaryota; Metazoa; Arthropoda; Insecta; Lepidoptera; Tortricidae.